UACAGAGGUCCCAAGCGUUGUUCGGAUUCACUGGGCGUAAAGGGUGCGUAGGUGGUCGGGUAAGUCUGAUGUGAAAUCUCCGGGCCUAACCCGGAAACUGCAUCGGAUACUAUUCGGCUAGAGGGUUGGAGGGGGGACUGGAAUACUUGGUGUAGCAGUGAAAUGUGUAGAUAUCAAGUGGAACACCAGUGGCGAAGGCGAGUCCCUGGACAACUCCUGACACUGAGGCACGAAAGCUAGGGGAGCAAACGGG
RNAcentral lists this ribosomal RNA (253 nucleotides) under uncultured bacterium. RNAcentral describes it as "partial 16S ribosomal RNA". It matches the Rfam family "Bacterial small subunit ribosomal RNA", at positions 524 to 776 of the family's 1533-position model. The record is from RNAcentral.